UUCUAUCAAAUUAUCCAGCUUUUGAAGGUUAUAUAUGAUUUCAUGCACUUUAAUUCUAUGGCAUGUAUAGGGACUUAGUCAAUUGGGUAUGUGUCAUUUGAUUUGGCCAAAUGUAUUAGCUCAUAAUGGAAUAGGAUUCAUUUUGUAUAUGGCCAUGAGAUAUGGCUCAUAAUGGUUAUUGGGUUGUAAACCUAUUCAUAUAUGCAUGCAUGUGCUAAAGGUUUCAUA
Molecule: long non-coding RNA, 228 nt
Filed under: Gossypium barbadense (sea-island cotton)
Lineage: Eukaryota; Viridiplantae; Streptophyta; Magnoliopsida; Malvales; Malvaceae
Description: long non-coding RNA (GBAR_LNC012661)
Source: RNAcentral